This 164-nucleotide ribosomal RNA is filed under the name uncultured bacterium. RNAcentral's name for it is "partial 16S rRNA". It matches the Rfam family "Bacterial small subunit ribosomal RNA", at positions 355 to 511 of the family's 1533-position model. The record is from RNAcentral.
UAGGGAAUCUUCCACAAUGGACGAAAGUCUGAUGGAGCAACGCCGCGUGAGUGAAGAAGGUUUUCGGAUCGUAAAGCUCUGUUGUUGGUGAAGGAGGAUAGAGGCAGUAACUGGUCUUUAUUUGACGGUAAUCAACCAGAAAGUCACGGCUAACUACGUGCCAG